RNAcentral lists this ribosomal RNA (449 nucleotides) under uncultured bacterium. RNAcentral describes it as "partial 16S ribosomal RNA". It matches the Rfam family "Bacterial small subunit ribosomal RNA", at positions 338 to 795 of the family's 1533-position model. The record is from RNAcentral.
CCUACGGGAGGCUGCAGUGGGGAAUUUUGGACAAUGGGCGCAAGCCUGAUCCAGCCAUUCCGCGUGAGUGAAGAAGGCCUUCGGGUUGUAAAGCUCUUUCGCAAGGGAAGAAAACUUAUCCUCUAACAUAGGAUGAGGUUGACGGUACCUUGAUAAGAAGCACCGGCUAACUACGUGCCAGCAGCCGCGGUAAUCCGUAGGGUGCGAGCGUUAAUCGGAAUUACUGGGCGUAUAGUGUGCGUCAGAUGUGAAAUCCCCGAGCUCAACAUGGGAACGGCGUUUGAAACUACAAGACUAGAAUAGGGCAGAGGGGGGUAGAAUUCCACGUGGAGCAGUGAAAUGCGUAGAGAUGUGGAGGAAUAUCAAUGGCGAAGGCAGCCCCCUGGGAUCAUAUUGACGCUCAUGCACGAAAGCGUGGGGAGCAAACAGGAUUAGAUACCCCAGUAGUC